AGAGAAAAAAACGCAAGGUGACGGUACCUGCAGAAGAAGCGCCGGCUAACUACGUGCCAGCAGCCGCGGUAAUACGUAGGGCGCAAGCGUUAUCCGGAAUUAUUGGGCGUAAAGAGCUCGUAGGCGGUUUGUCGCGUCUGCCGUGAAAGUCCGGGGCUCAACUCCGGAUCUGCGGUGGGUACGGGCAGACUAGAGUGAUGUAGGGGAGACUGGAAUUCCUGGUGUAGCGGUGAAAUGCGCAGAUAUCAGGAGGAACACCGAUGGCGAAGGCAGGUCUCUGGGCAUUAACUGACGCUGAGGAGCGAAAGCAUGGGGAGCGAACAGGAUUAGAUACCCUGGUAGUCCAUGCCGUAAACGUUGGGCACUAGGUGUGGGGGACAUUCCACGUUUUCCGCGCCGUAGCUAACGCAUUAAGUGCCCCGCCUGGGAGUACGGCCGCAAGGG
Molecule: ribosomal RNA, 444 nt
Filed under: Arthrobacter globiformis
Lineage: Bacteria; Bacillati; Actinomycetota; Actinomycetes; Micrococcales; Micrococcaceae
Description: bacterial SSU rRNA
Rfam family: Bacterial small subunit ribosomal RNA
Source: RNAcentral